GGAUAGCUCAAUUGGGUAGCCCAUGGUGCUGAUAAUGCCAAGGUUGCAGGUUCGAUCCCUGUAUGAGAUAGCUGCA
Non-coding RNA from Podarcis lilfordi (Lilford's wall lizard), 76 nucleotides. The record is from the annotation of a GenBank genome assembly. Lineage: Eukaryota; Metazoa; Chordata; Lepidosauria; Squamata; Lacertidae.